Molecule: ribosomal RNA, 613 nt
Filed under: uncultured bacterium
Lineage: Bacteria
Description: bacterial SSU rRNA
Rfam family: Bacterial small subunit ribosomal RNA
Source: RNAcentral
AUUGAACGCUGGCGGCAUGCCUUACACAUGCAAGUCGAACGGCAGCGCGGGGCAACCUGGCGGCGAGUGGCGAACGGGUGAGUAAUAUAUCGGAACGUACCCUGGAGUGGGGGAUAACGUAGCGAAAGUUACGCUAAUACCGCAUACGACCUAAGGAUGAAAGUGGGGGAUCGCAAGACCUCAUGCUCCUGGAGCGGCCGAUAUCUGAUUAGCUAGUUGGUAGGGUAAAAGCCUACCAAGGCAUCGAUCAGUAGCUGGUCUGAGAGGACGACCAGCCACACUGGAACUGAGACACGGUCCAGACUCCUACGGGAGGCAGCAGUGGGGAAUUUUGGACAAUGGGCGCAAGCCUGAUCCAGCAAUGCCGCGUGAGUGAAGAAGGCCUUCGGGUUGUAAAGCUCUUUUGUCAGGGAAGAAACGGUGCUUUCUAAUACAGAGCGCUAAUGACGGUACCUGAAGAAUAAGCACCGGCUAACUACGUGCCAGCAGCCGCGGUAAUACGUAGGGUGCAAGCGUUAAUCGGAAUUACUGGGCGUAAAGCGUGCGCAGGCGGUUUUGUAAGUCUGUCGUGAAAUCCCCGGGCUCAACCUGGGAAUGGCGAUGGAGACUGCAA